GAGGCUUGCGCUUGGCGAAUUAACAUUAAAUAUUAUUAAAUAAAUGGAAAAAGCAUUAUCCAGUAUUCAAGAAAAUACAACUACUCUCCUUAAAGAAGUUAUUUAAUCAAGCUACUAUCUACAAGCCACAAAACCCGAAUUUAUUCAAAAAUGCAUUUUCUAUAGGGAGCAGUAAGAAGAAAUACUAGCCUGUAUAAUAUACAGAUGUAUGUGUGCGUUGUUGUGUAUAGAAGGAUGAUUGCUAGGGCAACCCGAUGCUGAGUACAGGGUAUUUUCCAAUCGGGCGCUUCCAAAUAGAUCACUUUCAGUUAUUUUUUUUAAUUGUGGUCGUCCCUCUGCCAAAAGCGGAAACUCUUUGUAUGAGCAACAAACUUGAAGAGCGCAUGCAACAACUACAACAACAGCAAAGGCAAUUGUGCACAUACAACAAAAUGCCUGCAUGUGCACGCAUGCAUGUUCGUCUGUGUGUGUGUGUGUGUGUGUGCUUAAUUUUUAAUGCUGGGCGUGGACGACAGGACCGCUGGCGUGGGCGCGCCAAAGGCGCUUAAAGGCGCUCGCAAACAUUUUAACAACACUUGGCAUUUCAUGCUGGUGACAUUAAACAGCAUCAGAAGCAGCAACUGCAACUUUUGUCAUGCAAUGAGGUCAACAAUGAGCGUCCGCAAAAAGUAUGCUGUUUUUUUUUUGUACUUGGUUUUCUGCUCUGCUCGACUGUUUCAUAAAAAUGCCAAUUACAUACAUGCUGCUGCUGGUAAUAAAAGGGGUCACUUGGAAAUGGCACAAUUUAAUUAUAAAUAAAAAACAACAGACAUUAACUGUUGUGAAAACAACAGAUAAAAUGCGAUCAAUAGUUAACUAAGAUUUAAUAAAAUGGCUACGAUAUUGAAAAAAAAAAAAAAA
Molecule: non-coding RNA, 900 nt
Organism: Drosophila virilis
Lineage: Eukaryota; Metazoa; Arthropoda; Insecta; Diptera; Drosophilidae
Source: RefSeq, a predicted model, not a curated record